CCUACGGGAGGCAGCAGUGGGGAAUCUUGCGCAAUGGGCGAAAGCCUGACGCAGCCAUGCCGCGUGGAUGAUGAAGGUCUUAGGAUUGUAAAAUCCUUUCACCGGGGACGAUAAUGACGGUACCCGGAGAAGAAGCCCGGCUAACUUCGUGCCAGCAGCCGCGGUAG
RNAcentral lists this ribosomal RNA (167 nucleotides) under uncultured Brevundimonas sp. RNAcentral describes it as "partial 16S ribosomal RNA". It matches the Rfam family "Bacterial small subunit ribosomal RNA", at positions 338 to 523 of the family's 1533-position model. The record is from RNAcentral. Lineage: Bacteria; Pseudomonadati; Pseudomonadota; Alphaproteobacteria; Caulobacterales; Caulobacteraceae.